Molecule: long non-coding RNA, 1335 nt
Filed under: Vulpes vulpes (red fox)
Lineage: Eukaryota; Metazoa; Chordata; Mammalia; Carnivora; Canidae
Description: lncRNA (ENSVVUG00000014841.1)
Source: RNAcentral
CCUCGGUUGCGUGUAAAACCCAGUGCUCAUCGUAUCACGGAAAGCUUGUCUUUACAAUUACGUUGUCAGAUGGUUGGCUACUAAUGACGCCCGACUGUGCCCCAGGCUCUGUCUGGAGAAGAGCAUCCCGCAAGGGGAGUGAGACGUGCUCCUCUCUGAGAGUGAGGGGACAGUGUCCAGCGCAGUCGUAUGGCUGCUCUGGCUCCCCUGGAGGUGGAGACGGGCACUGCCACAGGUGACUCAAGGGCCUGUCUAGAGACCAGCCCCGCCACCUGUUGACCAUAGAAAUCCACAGAUGGACACGGCUCUUGCUGGAGGAAGGCAGGGUGUUGGAGACACUGCCUGAGGCUGUUUAACCUCCAAGCGCCAGGAUGGGCUGUGUCACUUCAAAGCUCUCUUCCAGAUCCUAAGGCUUCAAGUUCCAGGACGGUAAGCACCCAAGGCCUUGGGAUUCAGAGGACAGAGAAUUCCAAGUGGUGUAAAUCCUGAGACUCUGAGAUAGUGUCCUCAGGAACAGCAUCCCCGGGCCGCCCUCCUCCAUAGAAAUCACACAGCUUAUUCAAACCCAUGGGGGCGCCUCCCCUUGACAUUGGGGAAGUCAACAUUUCUGCCCAGAAGCCUCGACAGCCAUCCUGUCACCAGAAAACCAGAGCUCUGCAGGGUCUGUGAGACACCGGGGGAGGGCGAGUGGCAUCCUCCAUUUCCUCUUCACCGAAGCUGGUGGAAGGGUGUGUCUCCGGCCUCUGGGGCUCCCUGUGGGCAACAGUGGGAUUGGAUCAUGGCAGAGGGCCUGGGGGGCCUGCCUCCCACCGGACACUGGAAGCAGCUCCUUGGCCUCCCUCCUCCCACCCUCUCCCAAGUCCCAGCUGUGUCUGACUCAUUGGCCCCUCAUCCCACCCCUUUACCACCUGACACAGCUGACAGAUGGAUCCCCCACCCCCCAACCCUGGGGCAUGGGCAACUGGACUAACCGGUAUUUCUAGACUCAGAGUCAAUGCAGGGGUGGAUACUACCCUGGCACUGAGCUAGGAUUUCACCUCUACCCACUUUGGUGAUCCUUGUCGGACUCUGAAGUGCCGUGUAUUGACUCCACGUCGCACUCGAGGAAACUGGGGUGCAGAGGGUUGAAGCUACUGGCCCAGGAUGAAGAGCUGAGCUGGUGCUUCUCUACACGCCACCCAAGAGCCCCACGCCGGCCUUCACCACCCCCCUCCUCUGUGUUACAUGAUCCUCACCCUGCGGAGGCUGCAGGAGGAGUGUUGGCAAGUGUGGCAUCUCCGGGGAGUGGUGAGCCCUCGGGAGCAAAGCCAGGCUCCGGGCUGGGCGGGGGAGGGG